This 365-nucleotide unclassified non-coding RNA is filed under the name soil metagenome. Its description in RNAcentral is "partial contains 5.8S ribosomal RNA, internal transcribed spacer 2, and large subunit ribosomal RNA". The stretch from base 1 to 120 matches the Rfam family "5.8S ribosomal RNA", at positions 35 to 154 of the family's 154-position model. The record is from RNAcentral.
GAUGAAGAACGCAUCGAAAUGCGAUAAGUAAUGUGAAUUGCAGAAUUCAGUGAAUCAUCGAAUCUUUGAACGCACAUUGCGCCCGCCAGCAUUCUGGCGGGCAUGCCUGUUCGAGCGUCAUUUCAACCCUCGCAGCCCAUCUGGGCAGCGGUGUUGGGGACCGGCACCACCGGCGAAGCCCUUAGGGACCCAGCCGGCGCCGCCCCCGAAAUACAGUGGCGGUCUCGCUGCAGCCUCCCUUGCGUAGUAGCACACCUCGCACCGGAGCGCAGCGCGGCCACGCCGUAAAACCCCCGACUUUCUGAGUUUGACCUCGAAUCAGGUAGGAAUACCCGCUGAACUUAAGCAUAUCAAUAAGCGGAGGA